Molecule: long non-coding RNA, 980 nt
Organism: Corticium candelabrum
Lineage: Eukaryota; Metazoa; Porifera; Homoscleromorpha; Homosclerophorida; Plakinidae
Exons: 4
Source: RefSeq, a predicted model, not a curated record
CUGGUCAUCCCUUAAUCGUUGUUGCUACGAGUUGUCAAAGCGUCCAAUCAAAACAAUAUCAAUACUCAAUUAGCAUGAUUUGAUGUAGCAUCAGCUCUAGGCGGGUCAGCAGGUAUAUUCAUAAAUCUGCAAUGUUCUGUUGAUUUUCCUGCCUCAGCUGAUAUCAGGGGUGGCUCCAUAAUUGUGCCCAUGUCUGUAUCUGUCAUUUCUCGCUGCAUCGUUUCUCGUUUGACCACAGAAGAGACAAGUGAGAGUGAGUGACGUGUGAGAGCUCGCAGAGUGAAUGCACAAUGGCAGAAUCGACGUCGGAAUCUCGUGGGACGAGCGAGCUUGCGUCGACGCACGACGCGUCGUCUGAUGCGAGCGGAAAGGUGUGUGUGUUCACUUGUUGAAACCUGCUCAUCAUCUCUGCUUGUUUCAAGUGUGACAGCGUCGAGAGCAAAUACUUCACAUUGAACUCUUCAGCGUUCACUCUCUGUCAUAGAGUGCCGGCUCAUCAGCAGAGAACAUGUCCAAUGAACACGUGACUAUCUGAUGAAUGGAAGAUGGGUGAGGAGAAGCAAGGAGACGGAUGUCUACAGCAUGGGAGUCACCCUGGUGGAGCUGAAUGUUUACUGCUCGAUCACCUGCUAGGAUCCUCAUCAGAGAGAUGACCGAGUGCAUCAACUAUGACAGCAGAGACUGGUCACACUGGCAUGUGAUCAUAACUGAUGGCUGUGAUGUCGACGAAGGGAAAGAAACUGGCAACUUUGGGAUGAGGAUUUUCCUGUGCAACAAGAGGAAAAAUGAAAGCUGGACAUUUGUGAGUGUGUGAGAAGGAUAUGUAGUGUUGGUAUGAGUACAUGAGCAAACUUUCCAACUGUGUCAUCACGUGUGACAAUAACUCUUCUAGCAUAUAGUCUCAUGCUUACUGCAUUACAUCCUUGUCAGUCAUUGGUAUAUAUCACAAUACAAGUACAGCAAUAAUUGUUAUACUCUAA